Saimiri boliviensis boliviensis (Bolivian squirrel monkey) is the source of this 151-nucleotide small nucleolar RNA. The record is from Ensembl. Lineage: Eukaryota; Metazoa; Chordata; Mammalia; Primates; Cebidae.
GCCCAGGUUAUGUCCCCUCGAUGAUGCUGCCCUCCCAGCUGGCCCAUGGAUGACCCUGGGAACAUUACUGCCUCACAAUGUUUGUGCCUCAGUUACCCAUCGAUGUAGUGAGGGGAGCGAUACUUAGGCUCAUGGGUGGUAAGGAACAGCG